UAACAAGGAUUCCCCUAGUAACUGCGAGUGAAGCGGGAAGAGCUCAAAUUUAAAAUCUGGCAGUCUUCUGGCUGUCCGAGUUGUAAUCUGGAGAAGUGUUUUCUGUGUUAGACCGUGUACAAGUCUCCUGGAACGGAGCGUCAUAGAGGGUGAGAAUCCCGUCCAUGACACGGACUACUAAUACUUUGUGAUACGCUCUCAAAGAGUCGAGUUGUUUGGGAAUGCAGCUCAAAAUGGGUGGUAAAUUCCAUCUAAAGCUAAAUAUAGGCGAGAGACCGAUAGCGAACAAGUACCGUGAGGGAAAGAUGAAAAGCACUUUGGAAAGAGAGUUAAACAGUACGUGAAAUUGUUGAAAGGGAAACGCUUGAAGUCAGUCGCGUUGUGCAGAACUCAGCCUUGUCUCAGCUUGGUGUACUUCCUGCACAACGGGUCAACAUCAAUUUUGGCCCAUGGAGAAAGGUGGGGGGAAUGUAGCGCUGUUUCGGCAGCGUGUUAUAGCCCUCUAUUGUAUACAUGGGCUGGGAUUGAGGAACGCAGCACGCCCUUGUGGCCGGGGGUUCGCCCUACGUACYGUGCUUAGGAUGUUGGCAGAAUGGCUUUAAGCGACCCGUCUUGAAACACGGACCAAGGAGUCUAACAUACUUGCGAGUGUUCGGGUGGAAAACCCUUGUGCGUAAUGAAAGUGAAAGUUGGGAACACCUCCGCAAGGGGGGGUGCACCGACGCCCGGCCCUGACGUUCUCUGACGGUGCUGCGGUAGAGCAAGUAUGCUAGGACCCGAAAGAUGGUGAACUAUGCCUGAAUAGGGCGAAGCCAGAGGAAACUCUGGUGGAGGCUCGUAGCGAUUCUGACGUGCAAAUCGAUCGUCAAAUUUGGG
This 876-nucleotide ribosomal RNA is filed under the name Fomitiporia cupressicola. Its description in RNAcentral is "eukaryotic LSU rRNA". It matches the Rfam family "Eukaryotic large subunit ribosomal RNA", at positions 66 to 915 of the family's 3401-position model. The record is from RNAcentral. Lineage: Eukaryota; Fungi; Basidiomycota; Agaricomycetes; Hymenochaetales; Hymenochaetaceae.